AACCACUGUUAUCAGCAUGAACGACUAGCGGAAUGAGUUCAAAUACAACUGAUAUUGAUGUGACGCUUGUCGAUUAUUUUGCCGUUGCCGGUUACGACCCAGAUAUAGGACUUGUGGUAACUAAUUUUUUAAAUAAUAAUUAGAAAAUAUAACAUUUUAAUUUAUCCAGUUUUUUUUAAAAACUAAUUUAUUCUUGAUAAAUCCAAGGCACUUUAAAACAAUUAAGAAAACCAUGUUUUAUUUUACGCAGGAUUUGUGCAAGAUUGCAGCAAGAAUCCUUAAUUCCUAUUAAUUUCUAUUCAAGAAUAUGCACAUAGGAGAUGCACUUUACACAAAAGGUUUCACUUCAUUUUGGACUUUUUUAUUUUUGCCAGAGUAGCGCCCGAAAAAGAUUUAAAUUCGAUUAAAUAAUAAAAAUAUAAUUUUUCUCAUUGAUUUUUUUAAAAUUAAUUAAUCUUUAAAUUCAGGUGGACACUAAAUAUGAUCCUGGCCAUACACCAUGCGAAUCCCCUGGAAGUUCUGCUCCAGAAUUCCGGCCGCCUCUUCAACGAUCUUUUGUCGCCAAAAUAAUCAACCAUUUCCCUCAACGAAGGCCUGGAAAUCCAUUUUCUGACGAUAUUCUUCAUGUUAGUAAUUCAAAAUUACAAUAUUCCAAUAUUUAUUCAAUUUUCAGUUAUGUAUGCCGAGAGGUCUCCGGUUUUACACCGAAAAAGAUGUUCCAAAAAAGCUAAUGAUUCACACAUUUGCAAAUAUCAAGGAGGAUGGCUCGCGAAUAAAUGGAACUGCUUUAACGUUUUACGAAGAAGUCAAAGAUUUAGCGAUUUGUGAUGCAAUGGCUCAAUUACAACAGGAUCAUGUCAGAGAGAUCACUGCAAGGCAUAAUGGAAUUAUUGAAAAGCAACAAAGAAUACAUCAUCCACCGGGAACUGUUUCAGG
RNAcentral lists this small RNA (936 nucleotides) under Caenorhabditis elegans. Its description in RNAcentral is "Unclassified non-coding RNA C52E12.12". Lineage: Eukaryota; Metazoa; Nematoda; Chromadorea; Rhabditida; Rhabditidae. The record is from RNAcentral.